GAUGAACGCUGGCGGCGUGCUUAACACAUGCAAGUCGAACGGAAAGGCCACAGCUUGCUGUGGUACUCGAGUGGCGAACGGGUGAGUAACACGUGGGUGAUCUGCCCUGUACUUCGGGAUAAGCGUGGGAAACUGGGGCGAAUACCGGAUAGGAAUCACAUGUGGGUGUGUGUGUGGAAAGCUUUUGCGGUAUGGGCUGAGCUCGCGGCCUAUCGGCUCGUUGGUGGGGUAUUGGUCUACCAAGGCGUCGACGGGUAGCCGGCCUGUGAGCGUGUACGGCCACCUUGGUACUGAGUUACGGCCCAGGCUCCUACCGGUGGCAGCAGUCGGGAAUAUUGCGUAAUGGGCGCAAGCCUGAUGCAGCGCCGCCUCGUGCGGGAUGACGGCCUUCGGGUUGUAAACUUCUUUCGUAUGGGACGAACCGAAAGUGACGGUACCUGGAUAAGAAGCACCGGCUAACUACGUG
Molecule: ribosomal RNA, 466 nt
Filed under: uncultured bacterium
Lineage: Bacteria
Description: partial 16S ribosomal RNA
Rfam family: Bacterial small subunit ribosomal RNA
Source: RNAcentral